GGGCCGGUAGCUCAGCUUGGACUUUUUCCCUGCUUGACGCUUGUAGGGAAAGGGGUGCACUUAGAGCACGUGACUGAUAAUCACGGGGUCGCCGGUUCAAAUCCGGUCCGGCCCA
RNAcentral lists this transfer RNA (115 nucleotides) under Nitrososphaerota archaeon. RNAcentral's name for it is "Thaumarchaeota archaeon tRNA-Ile". It matches the Rfam family "tRNA". From Rfam's summary of the family: Transfer RNA (tRNA) molecules are approximately 80 nucleotides in length. Lineage: Archaea; Thermoproteati; Nitrososphaerota. The record is from RNAcentral.